AGGGAUGGAUUGGUGCCUUCGGGAACGUCUGACACAGGUGCUGCAUGGCUGUCGUCAGCUCGUGUCUGAGAUGUUGGUUAAGUCCGUACGAGCGCAACCCUUGUCCUUAGUUACCAGCACGUUAUGGUGGGCACUCUAAGGAGACUGCCGGUGACAAACCGGAGGAAGGUGGGGAUGACGUCAAGUCAUCAUGGCCCUUACGGCCUGGGCUACACACGUGCUACAAUGGUCGGUACAAAGGGUUGCCAAGCCGCGAGGUGGAGCUAAUCCCAUAAAACCGAUCGUAGUCCGGAUCGCAGUCUGCAACUCGACUGCGUGAAGUCGGAAUCGCUAGUAAUCGUGAAUCAGAAUGUCACGGUGAAUACGUUCCCGGGCCUU
RNAcentral lists this ribosomal RNA (378 nucleotides) under uncultured Pseudomonas sp. Its description in RNAcentral is "bacterial SSU rRNA". It matches the Rfam family "Bacterial small subunit ribosomal RNA", at positions 1002 to 1382 of the family's 1533-position model. The record is from RNAcentral. Lineage: Bacteria; Pseudomonadati; Pseudomonadota; Gammaproteobacteria; Pseudomonadales; Pseudomonadaceae.